AAUAACGCCUUUAACACAUGGCGCAUGCUUGCUUCCCAAAGCUAAGGAGGGCUCUGUGCAGGCGGGCAGCCCACCCUAAGGGAAGAAUCAUGGGAAAGAGCUCUGGCCUUGCAGCCUGUUUCUUCAUCUGAAAAAAAGAAGGAAAAAUAAUACCAAACUCAGAAAGACUUCAUGAGGAUCGAGUCUGUUUGAAUUGCUUUUCAUUGCACCUUCUAAAUAUGGGGAACUGCGACAUGAAGAAGUUAACUUACCUAAGAUCAGAGAAUGAGUCAAGGACAGAACAGGACCAUGUCAUCAAAUUUAGAGAAACUUGAACUAUGCAGAAAAGAGAUGGGAUUCUUCUGUGGCUGUGCUGCUCACUCAAGGGAGUCUGAACCAUUUUGACCAGGAAAAGCCAAAGGAAAGGCCACUGCCAAGGGCAGACCACACAUUGCCUGAAGUCAUUGUUCUCCAUUCCAGCCCCAAGAACUCUGCGAGAUCGAUGAAAGCAUACAUUGAGAAAUAAAAGUCAUGAGAAAAUUUUACAAAUUAGCUAGCUUUCAUUUCCUGUUGGCUUUUCCAGCACAUGCUUGGCACCAGAUGAGAGUAAUGUGGUAAUGCAGUAAAAUAUCCCUGUGAGACACUAUCUGCUUAGAGACAGGAGGCAGUGAGAUGCUUUAGCCCUUGAUGUCCUAAGGGCCUGUCUGGACAUCGUGAGGUUUUCUCAGAAGCCAAUGUAAUAGACUUUUUGUCAUAUCAAGUUUGUUUUUUAGGGAAUUUCAAGGCAUCAACAUUAUCUAUAUUUCCACUGCCGGCUCUGAUUUGGAAAUGCCAGUAAAGUUGGUGUGCUUUAUAUUUACUUGAUCUCUAAAAAA
This is a long non-coding RNA of Homo sapiens (human), 854 nucleotides long. NCBI's taxonomy places the organism in Eukaryota, Metazoa, Chordata, Mammalia, Primates, Hominidae. The record is from Ensembl.